GCCUAGGCCAUACCACCCUGAGAACGCCCGAUCUCGUCUGAUCUCGGAAGCUAAGCAGGGUCGGGCCCGGUUAGUACUUGGAUGGGAGACCGCCUGGAAUACCGGGUGCUGUAGGCU
This 117-nucleotide ribosomal RNA is filed under the name Aquila chrysaetos chrysaetos. The record is from RNAcentral. Lineage: Eukaryota; Metazoa; Chordata; Aves; Accipitriformes; Accipitridae.